CGGCCCAGACUCCUACGGGAGGCAGCAGUGAGGAAUAUUGGUCGAUGGGCGAGAGCCUGAACCAGCCAAGUAGCGUGCAGGAUGACGGCCCUAUGGGUUGUAAACUGCUUUUAUAAGGGAAUAAAGUGGGUCUCGUGAGACUUUUUGCAUGUACCUUAUGAAUAAGGACCGGCUAAUUCCGUGCCAGCAGCCGCGGUAAUACGGAAGGUCCGGGCGUUAUCCGGAUUUAUUGGGUUUAAAGGGAGCGUAGGCCGGAGAUUAAGCGUGCUGUGAAAUGUAGACGCUCAACGUCUGCACUGCAGCGCGAACUGGUUUCCUUGAGUACGCACAAAGUGGGCGGAAUUCGUGGUGUAGCGGUGAAAUGCUUAGAUAUCACGAAGAACUCCGAUUGCGAAGGCAGCUCACUGGAGCGCAACUGACGCUGAAGCUCGAAAGUGCGGGUAUCGAACAGGAUUAGAUACCCUGGUAGUCCGCACGGUAAACGAUGGAUGCCCGCUGUUGGUCUGAAUAGGUCAGCGGCCAAGCGAAAGCAUUAAGCAUCCCACCUGGGGAGUACGCCGGCAACGGUGAAACUCAAAGGAAUUGACGGGGGCCCGCACAAGCGGAGGAACAUGUGGUUUAAUUCGAUGAUACGCGAGGAACCUUACCCGGGCUUGAAUUGCAGAGGAAGGAUUUGGAGACAAUGACGCCCUUCGGGGCCUCUGUGAAGGUGCUGCAUGGUUGUCGUCAGCUCGUGCCGUGAGGUGUCGGCUUAAGUGCCAUAACGAGCGCAACCCCUCUCCUUAGUUGCCAUCAGUUGAAGCUGGGCACUCUGGGGACACUGCCACCGUAAGGUGUGAGGAAGGUGGGGAUGACGUCAAAUCAGCACGGCCCUUACGUCCGGGGCUACACACGUGUUACAAUGGCAGGUACAGAGAGACGGUCCCUUGCAAAACGGAUCAAAUCCUUAAAGCCUGUCUCAGUUCGGACUGGGGUCUGCAACCCGACCCCACGAAGCUGGAUUCGCUAGUAAUCGCGCAUCAGCCAUGGCGCGGUGAAUACGUUCCCGGGCCUUGUACACACCGCCCGUCAAGCCAUGAAAGCCGGGGGCGCCUAAAGUCCGUGACCGUAAGGAGCGGCCUAGGGCGAAACUGGUAAUUGGGGCUAAGUCGUAACAAGGUAGC
This 1163-nucleotide ribosomal RNA is filed under the name uncultured Prevotella sp. RNAcentral's name for it is "bacterial SSU rRNA". It matches the Rfam family "Bacterial small subunit ribosomal RNA", at positions 327 to 1500 of the family's 1533-position model. Lineage: Bacteria; Pseudomonadati; Bacteroidota; Bacteroidia; Bacteroidales; Prevotellaceae. The record is from RNAcentral.